Long non-coding RNA from Polistes dominula (European paper wasp), 888 nucleotides. Lineage: Eukaryota; Metazoa; Arthropoda; Insecta; Hymenoptera; Vespidae. The record is from RefSeq and is a predicted model, not a curated record.
CCUAAUUGAAUGCAUUUCGACGGACAUUUUUCAUAUACAGAGAUGAUACUCCUUACCUCUACCCUCCAUAGUGUAUAUGAAGUAGAUCAUAUACGCCAUGACGUUAUAAACCUGACAUUAGCAAACAUAACGAAGCCUAGCGGCGUAUUUAAGAGAAUGAUCUGUCCUCUUUUUUCCAGACGCGUUGACUGUACAAUUUCCAAUGUCGAUUGUCCUCCUUAUAUCUAAAAUCCAUGUUAAUACCUUUAAAAUCUCGUAUAUUGCGUGCAGCCUACAACAAAAAAUUUUCUUUUUUUGGAUAGAAUGGACAUAAAGGAUUUGUUUUUGUCAAUAGUAAAAACAGAAUUCUUCAACAAGAUUACGCGGGUAAAAACGCUGCAGUAAUAAAACACGAAAAAAUAAGAUGAAUCUCGCCGGCGGCAGCGCAAAUUUGGAAAGAAAAUCCCGAUUAUAAGCAAGAAAUUAUUUUUAGUCACUCAUUCAAAAGUAAAUCAUCAGCUAAAAAUCGUUCUUUGGUCAUCUUUGUUGACAAAAAAAAAGAAAGGAGGAGAAAGGGGAAGAACAGAGAUCAUAUCGUAACAACAAGACGGCGAAAAUGAUUUGGCGCUUACCUCGAUACCUUGGGAAUAUCAGCAUCUCGUUGCAUUCCGUUUUCAAAAUCCUGCCUGACACGGAAUUAUUCUAUAAAAUAAAAAAGUAUUAUAAUAAAAAUCUACGAAUGACUAAACAAGUUGUCAAUAAUGUGCAAUAAAAAUAUUCACGAAUAGGUGAAACAACUGCAUUUACGACCCAUUCAACCUGGACUGAAUUGUUAUUUUGUUUUAAGCAAUCUCAAUGUUUCUAACAGUGCUGUCAAUGUAAAUAUAACUUCCAAAUCCUGCAAGCUGA